Molecule: long non-coding RNA, 637 nt
Organism: Oncorhynchus keta (chum salmon)
Lineage: Eukaryota; Metazoa; Chordata; Actinopteri; Salmoniformes; Salmonidae
Exons: 3
Source: RefSeq, a predicted model, not a curated record
ACAUGGGGAACUAACCCCAGCUCAGUUCUCCUCUAGAUGUUUAGGUAUCUGGUAGACAUGGGGAACUAACCCCAGCUCAGUUCUCCUCUAGAUGUUUAGGUAUCUGGUAGACAUGGGGAACUAACCCAGCUCAGUUCUCCUCUAGAUGUUUAGGUAUCUGGUAGACAUGGGGAACUAACCCAGCUCAGUUCUCCUCUAGAUGUUUAGGUAUCUGGUAGACAUGGGGAACUAACCCAGCUCAGUUCUCCUCUAGAUGUUUAGGUAUCUGGUAGACAUGGGGAACUAACCCAGCUCAGUUCUCCUCUAGAUGUUUAGGUAUCUGGUAGACAUGGGGAACUAACCCCAGCUCAGUUCUCCUCUAGAUGUUUAGGUAUCUGGUAGACAUGGGGAACUAACCCAGCUCAGUUCUCCUCUAGAUGUUUAGGUAUCUGGUAGACAUGGGGAACUAACCCAGCUCAGUUCUCCUCUAGAUGUUUAGGUAUCUGGUAGACAUGGGGAACUAACCCAGCUCAGUUCUCCUCUAGAUGUGUAGGUAUCUGGUACACAUGGGGAACUAACCCCAGCUCAGUUCUCCUCUAGAUGUUUAGGUAUCUGGUAGACAUGGGGAACUAACCCCAGCUCAGUUCUCCUCUAGAUG